This 460-nucleotide ribosomal RNA is filed under the name uncultured bacterium. Its description in RNAcentral is "partial 16S ribosomal RNA". It matches the Rfam family "Bacterial small subunit ribosomal RNA", at positions 338 to 795 of the family's 1533-position model. The record is from RNAcentral.
GCUACGGGAGGCAGCAGUGAGGAAUAUUGGUCAAUGGGCGCGAGCCUGAACCAGCCAAGUAGCGUGAAGGAUGACUGCCCUACGGGUUGUAAACUUCUUUUAUAAAGGACUAAAGUGAGGCACGUGUGCCUUUAUGUAUGUCCUUUAUGAAUAAGGAUCGGCUAACUCCGUACCAGCCGCCGCGGUAAUACGGAGGAUCCGAGCGUUAUCCGGAUUUAUUGGGUGUAAAGGGAGCGUAGAUGGGUUGUUAAGUCAGUUGUGAAAGUUUGCGGCUCAACCGGAAAAUUGCAAUUGAUACUGGCAGCCUUGAGUACAGUUGAGGUAGGCGGAAUUCGUGGUGUAGCGGUGAAAUGCUUAGAUAUCACGAAGAACUCCGAUUGCGAAGGCAGCUUACUAAACUGCCACUGACAUUGAUGCGCGAAAGUGUGGGUAUCAAACAGGAUUAGAUACCCGAGUAGUC